Molecule: ribosomal RNA, 851 nt
Filed under: uncultured bacterium
Lineage: Bacteria
Description: bacterial SSU rRNA
Rfam family: Bacterial small subunit ribosomal RNA
Source: RNAcentral
AGAGUUUGAUCUUGGCUCAGGAUGAACGCUAGCGGCAGGCCUAACACAUGCAAGUCGAGGGGCAGCAUGUCCAGCAAUGGAUGAUGGCGACCGGCGGAAGGGUGCGUAACGCGUGAGCAACAUGCCCUAUACAGGGAGAUACACCAGGGAAACUUGGUCUAAUAUCCCAUAGCAUUCAUUGAAGGCAUCUUUAAUGAAUUAAAGCUUCGGUGGUAUAGGAUUGGCUCGCGUGACAUUAGCCAGAUGGUGAGGUAACGGCUCACCAUAGCAAUGAUGUCUAGGGGUUUUGAGAGGAAGGCCCCCCACACUGGGACUGAGACACGGCCCAGACUCCUACGGGAGGCAGCAGUGAGGAAUAUUGGACAAUGGAUGGAAAUCUGAUCCAGCCAUGCCGCGUGCAGGAAGACGGCCUUAUGGGUUGUAAACUGCUUUUAUACGGGAGCAAUAAGGGUUACGAGUAAUCCGAUGAGAGUACUGUAUGAAUAAGGAUCGGCUAACUCCGUGCCAGCAGCCGCGGUAAUACGGAGGAUCCGAGCGUUAUCCGGAAUUAUUGGGUUUAAAGGGUGCGUAGGCGGCCAUUUAAGUCAGCGGUGAAAUUUUGCAGCUUAACUGUAACAGUGCCGUUGAUACUGUUUGGCUAGGAUUUGGUUGUAGUGUGCGGAAUGUGUGGUGUAGCGGUGAAAUGCUUAGAUAUCACACAGAACACCGAUUGCGAAGGCAGCACACUAAGUCAUUAUUGACGCUGAGGCACGAAAGUGUGGGGAUCAAACAGGAUUAGAUACCCUGGUAGUCCACACUGUAAACGAUGAUAACUCGCUGUCGGCGAUACACAGUCGGGGCCAAGCGAAAGC